Oncorhynchus tshawytscha (Chinook salmon) is the source of this 786-nucleotide long non-coding RNA. NCBI's taxonomy places the organism in Eukaryota, Metazoa, Chordata, Actinopteri, Salmoniformes, Salmonidae. The record is from Ensembl.
AGAGGGUAGGUUAGGUAAGUAGUGGGUAGGCAGGUAAGAUAGGAGAGGGUAGGUUAGGUAAGUAGUGGGUAGGCAGGUAAGAUGGGAGAGGGUAGGUUCGGUAAGUAGUGGGUAGGCAGGUAAGAUAGGAGAGGGUAGGUUAGGUAAGUAGUGGGUAGGCAGGUAAGAUAGGAGAGGGUAGGUUAGGUAAGUAGUGGGUAGGCAGGUAAGAUGGGAGAGGGUAGGUUAGGUAAGUAGUGGGUAGGCAGGUAAGAUAGGAGAGGGUAGGUUAGGUAAGUAGUGGGUAGGCAGGUAAGAUGGGAGAGGGUAGGUUAGGUAAGUAGUGGGUAGGCAGGUAAGAUAGGAGAGGGUAGGUUAGGUAAGUAGUGGGUAGGCAGGUAAGAUAGGAGAGGGUAGGUUAGGUAAGUAGUGGGUAGGCAGGUAAGAUAGGAGAGGGUAGGUUAGGUAAGUAGUGGGUAGGCAGGUAAGAUAGGAGAGGGUAGGUUAGGUAAGUAGUGGGUAGGCAGGUAAGAUAGGAGAGGGUAGGUUAGGUAAGUAGUGGGUAGGCAGGUAAGAUAGGAGAGGGCAGGUUAGGUAAGUAGUGGGUAGGCAGGUAAGAUAGGAGAGGGUAGGUUAGGUAAGUAGUGGGUAGGCAGGUAAGAUAGGAGAGGGCAGGUUAGGUAAGUAGUGGGUAGGCAGGUAAGAUGGUAGAUGGGGCUUUGACAUUUACUUUCUUUGCUUUGGUUCCGUUCAGCUCCUUUCCCUCAAAUGUAUCGUGUGAAGGAAUAAAUUACCAGUAAAGGGUCA